AUUUUUUUUUCCUACUGUACAGCAUGGUGACCCAGUUACACAUACAUGUACACAUACUGUUUUUGCACAUUAUCAUGCUCCAUCAUAAGUGACUAGACAGAGUUCCCAGUGCUACACAGCAGGAUCUCAUUGCUAAUCCAUUUCACAGGCAAUAGUUUGUAUCUAUUAACCACAAGCUCCCCAACUACCACACUCCCUCCCCCUCCCCCUUGGCAACCACAUGUCUAUUCUGCAAGUCCAUGAUUUUCUUUUCUGUGGAAAGGUUCAUUUGUGCCACAUAUUAGAUUGCAGAUAUAAAUGAUAUCAUAUGGUAUUUGUCUUUCUCUUUCUGAUGUACUUCACUCAGUAUGAGAGUCUCUCCUUCCAUCCAUGUUGCUGCAAAUGGCAUUAUUUUGUUCUUUUUUAUGGCUGAGUAAUAUUCCAUUGUGUAUAUAUACCACAUCUUCCUAAUCCAAUUGUCUAUCGAUGGACAUUUGGGUUGUUUCCAUGUCUUGGCUGUUGUGAAUAGAGUUGCAAUGAGCAUGCAGGUGCAUGUGUGUUUUUUAAGGAAAGCUUUGUCCGGAUAUAUGCCCAAGAGUGGGAUUGCUGGGUCAUAUGGUAGUUCUAUGUAUAGACUUCUAAGUACCUCCAUACUGUUCUCCAUAGUGGUUAUACCAGCUUACAUUCCCACCAACAGUGCAGGAGGGUUCCCUUUUCUCCACACCCCCUCUGGCAUUUGUUAUUUGUGGAUUUAUUAAUGAUGGCCAUUCUGACUGGUGUGAGGUGGUAUCUCGUGGUAGAUUUGAUUUGCAUUUCUCUAAUAAUCAGGGAUGUUGAGCAUUUUUUUCAUGUGCUCAUAGGCCAUCUGUACAUCUUCCUUGGAAAAAUGUCUAUUCAGAUCUUUGCCCACUUUUCAAUUGGUUGUUGGCUUUUUUGCUGUUGAGUUGUAUAAGUUGCUUAUAUAUUCUAGAGAUUAAGCCCUUGUCUGUUGCAUCUUUUGAAACUAUUUUCUCCCAUUCCAUAAGUUGUCUUUUUGUUUUCUUUUUGGUUUCCUUUGCUGUGCAAAAGCUUGUCAGUUUGAUUAGGUCCCAUUGGUAUUAUGGGGAAAAAUCAUUAAAAAAAGAGUAUGGGACUUAUCCUCUUUUUUUAAUGAUUUUUUUUCCCCAUUAUAAGUGGUUGCAGUCUACAUUCUCAAAACGUAGCUUCUGAUUUUUCUUGGCAUCAUUAGGCUUGGAGCUAUCAACUCAAUUGCAUUAAAUAAAUGUUUGUUGAAUAAAAGAUCAGAAAUUCUCAUCCUUGUACCCAAAGAAGAGGUUGUGAUGGCUCUGGUCUUAUGCUGGAAGUGAGUGAACAUAGUCCACGUCCUAGGUCACUUGACCUCUUAGUACAUGGAUUUAUUUACUUCUCUGAACAAAGCAGUCUCUGUUGUAAUUAGACUUGAUAACAAACAGAUCCAAAUACAAAUAAUAGAAACACCAGAAUUCUAAGUGGAAUAUAGCCUCACAUGCCCAAGAGCCCAUUCUUUUUACAUUCUCAAAUAGAGAAGAGUGGUUCUCUUCCCAUAUCAUCAAGUUUAUUACUAAGUUUGUGAGGAAUGUAAUCAUGUGAGGAAUGAUCUUUCAGGCACCUGCCUUGGGCCCUGUCAUAAAUGCUGGAGAGCUCACUGUAGUGCAUGCAAUUUAGCAGCUUUUGAUAAUGUUAUAUUAUAUGGUAUUCAUUAUUCUUCCAGUGGUAUUGGUGACACUUCAGGGAAGAGAUUAAGAUAAAACAAAAAAUAAAGCAAAGAGAAAACAAGUGAGCUUACCUAUCUGGUGUUUGACAACUUGGCUGGGGCCACAGAUGACAUCUAAAGUUGGGUAGCAAAAAUCUAGGGGGAAAAGCCCAUAUGAAUCUAUCUAAGAAGGAUCUGGAACCCUGACCUAAAGCCAUAGCAUAGAAAAGGAGAGAACUUGGGAUAGAACGUGAUGGAAGAUAAUACAAGAAAGGGUAUAUAUAUAUAUAUACACACACACACACACACACACAUAUAUGUAUAUAUAACUGGAUCACUUUGCUGUACAGCAGAAAUUGACACAUUAUAAGUCAACUAUACUUUAAUAAAAAUAAAGCCAAAUAAAAAAGAAAAGGAGGAAAGAACAAUACAAUAAUUUUCAAGACAGAAGCUGAUGCAAAAGUGCUCCACAGAGCAUGAACAAGGUUCAGUCUUUCCAUAUUAAACUGGAAUAAUUUGUCAGAAACUCAAAGUCAUAGGCUUUAAAAUGUCCUUAGUAACUUUUUAUUGUAUAUGGACAUUAAUAAGCAAAAAUGUGCCCUACUGACAAACUUCAAAAUUUCAAUUAUUGCCCAAGUGUUUGUUAAUUAGUUGUCUAUCUUCUUUUGUAAAUUGAAAAUUUGACAUUUCCCUGUAUGGGCUUAGUGUUUUUUAGUGUUUGAACAAAUUCUUCAAAGUGGUUACAUCUUUACUCAAAAUUUUCCAUUUGAGAAAAUUAAAUAUGUAUCAAAAGAACUAAUUUUUAAAAUAACAAUUGAGUACCUACCCAUGUGCUGGGGCACUAUUCUAGGCAGUUGGAAUAUAUCAGAAAAUGAAACAGAACAAAUCCCUGUGCUUGCGAAACUUAUAUUCCAGUGUAAUGUGUGUGUGUUUGUGUGUGUGUGCAUGUGCGUGUGAAGGGAGGUAGAUAGCAAAUAAAUAAGAAAUAAAGAACAUAUAUAUGAUGUGUAUGCUGUG
Molecule: long non-coding RNA, 2707 nt
Filed under: Sus scrofa (pig)
Lineage: Eukaryota; Metazoa; Chordata; Mammalia; Artiodactyla; Suidae
Description: lncRNA (ENSSSCG00035051775.1)
Source: RNAcentral